AUGGAUGCCCAAUCCCUUUACUAA
Molecule: transfer RNA, 24 nt
Filed under: Reginaia ebena
Lineage: Eukaryota; Metazoa; Mollusca; Bivalvia; Unionida; Unionidae
Description: partial tRNA-Leu
Source: RNAcentral